AUUGAACGCUGGCGGCAGGCCUAACACAUGCAAGUCGAGCGGAUGAAGGGAGCUUGCUCCUGGAUUCAGCGGCGGACGGGUGAGUAAUGCCUAGGAAUCUGCCUGGUGGGGGGUGAUGUCGGGAAGCGAGGGGUACUAAUGCAGAAGUCGUGAUGGGGGAAGAAGUGGGUGUUCUUACGACCCCACGCUAUCUGAUGCGAGGUCGGAUUAGCUAGUUGGUGGGGUAAAGGCCUACCAAGGCGACGAUCCGUAACUGGUCUGAGAGGAUGAUCAGUCACACUGGAACUGAGACACGGUCCAGACUCCUACGGGAGGCAGCAGUGGGGAAUAUUGGACAAUGGGCGAAAGCCUGAUCCAGCCAUGCCGCGUGUGUGAAGAAGGUCUUCGGAUUGUAAAGCACUUUAAGUUGGGAGGAAGGGCAGUAAGUUAAUACCUUGCUGUUUUGACGUUACCAACAGAAUAAGCACCGGCUAACUUCGUG
This 481-nucleotide ribosomal RNA is filed under the name uncultured bacterium. RNAcentral's name for it is "partial 16S ribosomal RNA". It matches the Rfam family "Bacterial small subunit ribosomal RNA", at positions 30 to 507 of the family's 1533-position model. The record is from RNAcentral.